This 492-nucleotide ribosomal RNA is filed under the name uncultured bacterium. RNAcentral describes it as "partial 16S ribosomal RNA". It matches the Rfam family "Bacterial small subunit ribosomal RNA", at positions 28 to 507 of the family's 1533-position model. The record is from RNAcentral.
GAUGAACGCUAGCUACAGGCUUAACACAUGCAAGUCGAGGGGAAACGACAUCGAAAGCUUGCUUUUGAUGGGCGUCGACCGGCGCACGGGUGAGUAACGCGUAUCCAACCUGCCCAUCACUUGGGAAUAACCUUGCGAAAGUAAGACUAAUACCCAAUGACAUCCCACGAAGACAUCUGAAUGGGAUUAAAGAUUUAUCGGUGAUGGAUGGGGAUGCGUCUGAUUAGCUUGUUGGCGGGGUAACGGCCCACCAAGGCAACGAUCAGUAGGGGUUCUGAGAGGAAGGUCCCCCACAUUGGAACUGAGACACGGUCCAAACUCCUACGGGAGGCAGCAGUGAGGAAUAUUGGUCAAUGGGCGAGAGCCUGAACCAGCCAAGUAGCGUGCAGGAUGACGGCCCUAUGGGUUGUAAACUGCUUUUAUAAGGGAAUAAAGUGCGUAUCGUGAGACUUUUUGCAUGUACCUUAUGAAUAAGGACCGGCUAAUUCCGUG